CUUGGUCAUUUAGAGGAAGUAAAAGUCGUAACAAGGUUUCCGUAGGUGAACCUGCGGAAGGAUCAUUAAAUGUUAUAGCAACCCUCUGGCUGAAAAUGCCAGGGGGCACAACUAUACCACCCUUUGUUUAUUACACUUUUGUUGCUUUGGUAGGCCAGUCCCCGGACUGCUGGCUUCGGCCGGACAGCGCCUACCAGAGGACCUAAACUCUGUUUGUCUAUAAUGUCUGAGUACUAUAUAAUAGUUAAAACUUUCAACAACGGAUCUCUUGGUUCUGGCAUCGAUGAAGAACGCAGCGAAAUGCGAUAAGUAAUGUGAAUUGCAGAAUUCAGUGAAUCAUCGAAUCUUUGAACGCACAUUGCACCCCCUGGUAUUCCGGGGGGUAUGCCUGUUCGAGCGUCAUUAACAACCCUCAAGCUCUGCUUGGUAUUGGGCCCCGCCGACCCGGCGAGCCCUAAAAUCAGUGGCGGUGCCAUCUGGCUCCGAGCGUAGUAAUUCUUCUCGCUUUGGAGGCCGGGUGUGUGCUUGCCAGCAACCCCCAAUUUUUUUAAGUUUGACCUCGGAUCAGGUAGGGAUACCCGCUGAACUUAAGCAUAUCAAUAAGCGGAGGA
RNAcentral lists this ribosomal RNA (611 nucleotides) under uncultured fungus. RNAcentral's name for it is "eukaryotic LSU rRNA". The stretch from base 249 to 402 matches the Rfam family "5.8S ribosomal RNA". Lineage: Eukaryota; Fungi. The record is from RNAcentral.